CCUAUAAAAGGGGGGACUCAGAUACGUUAUUUUUUAAGCUCAUUUUUCUUAUCUCAAAACUCUGCUAAAUUCUCCGUUCGAGCACUCCAUUCUUGUUGAGGCAGAGAACUGACUUGAGCGUCGGAGGGUCUUGCCGGAGCAACCCCACCUCCGGUUUAGACUUCCCUUGCAGGUCCCGACGGCGACCGCGGCCUCCUCAACUCCAGCUUCUCCGGCGC
Molecule: long non-coding RNA, 218 nt
Filed under: Elaeis guineensis (African oil palm)
Lineage: Eukaryota; Viridiplantae; Streptophyta; Magnoliopsida; Arecales; Arecaceae
Description: long non-coding RNA (EGUI_LNC078766)
Source: RNAcentral